UCCGCCGAAUAUUGUGUUUGAAUUUUUAAAAAAAUUAUACAUAUGUAUUUCAAUGUAUUUAUUCAUUUAUUUUAUUUUCUGAAAGCAAAUAAGUUUAUUCAAAACAUUGUCACAACUACGAAAAUACAUACCAGACGAUAACAAACACAUGGACGAACAACAUCGAGUUUAUUAUUAAAAUCGGCAACAAAAUAUAGGAUUGUUUAAAAGUACUGAAUCUUAAAUAUUACACGCAGGUUGUGAUGCUGGCUGUGUCAGCAUAUUGGUGAGGAGCAUCAUGGCAGAGACUGAGUUCAGAGUGAAAUGUGUUCAGUGUAAGAAUGGGGAAGUUUCUUCUAGAUGUACAGAAGCCUUCAAUGCAUUAAAGCUUAUGGCUUUAAACCCCAGUGGAUUACCGAAGAUGAGUGUUUAAAUAUAAUGCAGAAAGAUAAAAACACAGCGUAUCUGUGUGAUAAAUUUGAAGGAGAUGCUUUUGAACACCUAAAGUCACAUGGGUUGAGAAUUUUAGGCCCAAUCUGUGUAUUAACUUGUUUGGAACUUAAAGUGGAAAUUCCUCGUACUAAAGUACCAAUCCAUAAUUUAGCCAUGAAGGACACCAUCAUAAGCUGUACGAAUAUUGAUAAGGUAUUGCGGGAAUCUUUACACAUGAAAGUUUUGAUGAUGGGUGGUGAAAUCCAACGCAACUUUACUGAAAAUGUGACACAUCUUGUGGCUGGAAUGGUUGGUAGCAGUAAAUACCAGGUGGCAAGUAACCUGAAAAAAUACAUUAUGUUACCUGAUUGGGUUAAUUCUGUCUGGGAAGCAUCACAAGAAGGCUCUGUUCACUGCAAUGAUGAGAAGUUUCAAAAAUACACUUGCCCCAUGUUUAAAGGGUUAAUUAUAACAGUCUCUGGCUUAGAAUCGGCAGAGAGGAAAAAAGUGAAGCAACUGGUUGAAAUGGAAGGUGGUGUUUAUUCAGGAGAAAUGAAAGUUGAUGAAUGUACUCAUUUAAUUGUAAAUGAACCAAAAGGCCAGAAAUAUGAAUUUGCCAAGCAGUGGAAGAUCCAGAUUGUAAAACCUCAGUGGUUGUAUGAAUCAAUUGAAACUGGUUAUUGUCUUGACGAAACAAAAUACCAAUUAAAUACUGAAGGUGGCCACAAUGAAAUGAUGACCUCCACACCAACUAAAAAUACCUCAGCUGUUAACCUGAGUUCAAUUGCCAAUAUUUCUGCAAUUAAUCGUCUUAGCGACACUAUGCUCAGUGCUUGCAGUUCAAAUAUUUCCCGAGUAGACAAGUCUAAACCCACCUUUGAUAAUACAUCAAUGUCAACACCUAUGUCAUUCUUCGAUGGUUGUAAGAUUUAUCUCAGUGGAUUUCGUGGGCCAGACCAAGAACGGUUACUCAGGAUCAUCAAUGUUGGUGGAGGUACUAGAUUUAAUUCCUUAAACGAACAUGUUACACAUGUUGUGAUGGGCGAAAAAGUGCCAGCAGAUAUGGAUUAUCUAGAGAAAGCUAUUCAUAGGCCACAUAUACUAAAUGCCUCAUGGCUUUUAGAUUGUGUGAAAGAGAGCAAGUAUGUCCCAGAGAAACCCUAUUACAUCCAGAAGCUUCCCUUUGUAAAGGAAUCGCACAUGGAACCACCAAAAGCACCUGCCCCUAUCACAAAACGAAAGCCAGUUGGUGAUGUAUCACAGCUAAACACAACAAAGAUAACUGCUACCACGAGUGAAUUUGGCGAAAAUACUGAUGAAGAAUUGGCUUUGAUGAGUCAGUAUCUCCAAGGAUCAGUAAUGUCUAAGAGUGAAGCUCUACAAAGUACCUUCAGAAGUAACAUUGCGCCCAGUAUCAACAACAUGUCAAAUGGUACUUUAGAAUCAGAUCAGUCAGAAAUGACUGAUCCUGUGAAUACUGGUGGUAUUUUUUCUGGUAAAACAUUUAUUUGUUGUGGAUUAGCGGAAGAUACACCAGUUAUUGAAAAUGCUGUUAUAGAAAAUGGAGGUAUAAUUUUGAAAAACAUUCAUCAGAUCCCUGAUUAUGCACUUGUUCCACUGGGUGGCUGUACUAUAAAAUUCACUGCCAAUGAAGUGGUCACUCAUGUCUGGCUAGAAUCUUGUUUAGAAAAACAUCGUCUGGUUCCCAUUAGUGACAGUGUUCUAUUUCAACCAAUUGAGAUCAACCACCUUGCCAAACCCCUAACAAACUGCGUCAUAUCAUUCAGUGGCUUGAAUUAUAUUGAAAAGAAUUGCCUAAUGUACCUUGGAAAACUUCUUGGAGCAAACACUCAGCUAGUUUUUGUGAAAAAGCCAACCAAGGGUAUGUUAAGUAAUACUCAUCUAGUUGUCAAGGAAGCAGAGGGACAAAAAUAUGAAGCUGCUAUUAAAUGGAAGGUACAUGUUGUGAAAAUAGAAUGGAUUUUAGCAUGUGCAAAGAGUGGUAAGUUAGAGCCUGAAGAUAACUAUAUUUGUAGACCUGUUACCUGCAAAGAUGGUGUCAGUCUGGUCAAGGAGAAUAAUGUCAAGAAUAACACUUGUUUAAUUGAAAAUGACCAAAAUGAUGGGAAUGGUUCUCUUGUUACCAAGAAACGAACCUCGGUAUCUGAUGUGAGACCAAACCACCUGGCGAAUGAUGUUUCUACGUGUAAUGAUGUUCAACAACCCCAGUGUAACAGUAUUGUCAUGGAAGGUUUGGCUAGUUCAGACAAUAGCCAGAAGGAGAAUAGACAUUCCCUAUCACAUAAACAGAUGCCUGUCUCAUUACACACAUCUAGAAUUUUGGAAUUGCAAGAGAAAGAAAGCCAGCUGUCACCUAAAGAAAAUAACUUCCAACCUAAAAUUGAUACUGAAACACCUAGUAAAUUCUUGGGCCAAGGAAAAGAAUAUCAUCCCAAAUUUGAGCUUGAUGAUUUGACUUCAGUGCUGGAAUCACAAAUGAAGGGCCUGUCUACAUCUCAUUCAAGAAGAUCUAGCAUUCCAUGGGGUGAACUGUUCAGUAAACAUAUUGAAGAAGGUGUGAAAAUUAGUGCUAAUGCUCGUACUGAGGAAUUCGGUGGUUCUCAGGAAGUUGAAGCUGUCAGUGAUAAGAAUGAGGGUCCACUGAACGGUGUUGUAAUUUCUGUCGCUCGCAAAUUGAGUGCCAAACAAUCCCUCUACAAUGACAUGGCUGUAUCACUUGGUGCUGAUUACACCUGGACCUAUGACGACACAUGUACUCAUUUCAUUUUCCAGGGCAAACAGAAUGACAUCAACAGAGAGUUUCGGUUGGCUCGAGAUCAAAAGAAAAUAAUUGUUUCACCCUACUGGCUGAUCAUGUGUAAAGAACAAAAUGUGUACGUCGACGAGUCUUUGUUUCCUCACACAUUUAAUCCAAAUUUGAACUUGCAAUCUGUUAUGAACAGCUCCAAAGAAACACCACGUCGUAAGAUGCGGUCUACUAGGACUGAUGUCUGUUCCAGUACACCUGUUGCCAAAAAGACUCCUAGAGUCUUCAGACAUGAUGUAGAAGCUGUUCCUGAACCAGAAGCAGAGGAAGAAAGGAUGGAAAUAAAUGCUUUGUUACCUGUCACUACUGAUGAAGAAUUAAUGGAACUUGAAGAAACAAAGAAACCUGAUGUGGAGAAUGCUGUUGAAAUGGCUGAAAUUCAAGAAGCUUUAAAUAAAGAGCUAGAAAAUAUUAAAGCUUCUGGCUCAAGGCGGCCAAAGAAGAGAAAUAAGAAAUUAAAUUCUUCCUGUAAUGACAGUCUCAACAACAGAAGCACACCAUAUUCUACCAAAGUUAUAGCCACAGGUAAAGCGGCAGAACAGUCAUCCAAAACUUCUGGUUCGGAAUCCUCACAGAGUGUCCAGGUUACGUGGUAUGAUCCAACAGAAAGACUAGAGAUGCAGAAGGUUGCUGCUCAGCUGGAGCGUGCAUAUUGUCCCACUCAAGAUCCUCUUGAGGGUUUCACAACCACAAAACAAGACUGUGAUGAUCAACCGACUAAUGGGAAUGGAGAGUUAAAUGAUGGUGGGAAGAAAAUCUCCUCCAGAACAUCCACCCCAGAACAACCUUCCAUUGUUUUACCACUGUCUAAGAAAUUAGAAACUGUUGCUGCCCCUCAACCAAUAGAGUUUCUGUCUGAUGACGACACCCAGGAUAAUGCCACUACUGGAACAAUGGUUGAAUCACCAUGCUUUUUAUUAUCUGGAAUAUCUCCCUCUGAACGAGUGGAUUAUGGUGCUUUGAUUGAGGAACUUGGAGGAACUGUCAUAGAAGGACAGAUCUAUCAUGAAUCUUGUACACAUCUUGUUAUUGGAUGUCCAACCAGAAAUGAAAAAUUCUUGGCUUGCAUGGCAUCAGGGAAGUGGAUACUUCAUAAAUCUUACUUUGAAGAUUGCCGAAGAGCCAAGAAGUUUGUUCAGGAAGCUAAACACGAAUGGGGCAGUGUAUCCACAGAAAGCGUCUUAGCCUCAGCCAACUCUGUUAUGAAAACAUUAGCAGCUUCAGCACAAAGGUGGCGUCUCAAAAUACAGGAACUAAAGAAGCAAAGCCCAAAAUGCCAAGGUGCAUUUUAUGAUUGGUCUGUUAUUUUGUGCACUUGUAAAAAGAAAGAAAGCAACUUUGAACGCCUUUUGAAGGCCGGUGGUGCCAAGGUUUUGUCUGCUAAGCCACCAUUUACCAAACCAAUUUCAGCAACACAUGCCCUUAUAGAUAUCACCAGAGCUGAUCUCACUACUAGUGACUUAGAAACCUUAUUGCGAAACAAUGUACUUUGUCUCCGUCCUGAUUAUAUUGCUGCUUACCUUUCAAAUGAAGUACUACAGUCACCUGAUGAAUUUUGUCCUCCUGAAGUCAUUGCUUUAAGGGCCAGCUUGAAUCUUCCAGAUUCCGGAAUGAGAAAAAGAAAAACUACUAUAAUUGGUGAAGAAGCGAAACGAAACCGAAAACUGUGAUAAUGAUUAUUAUUAUUAUUGAUAAUAAUAGUAAUAUUGUUAAUGUUGUUAGGGAGUUGGCAGAAAUUGUAAAAUGAGGCCCUAAAAUUGACUUUACAGUAUUUAGGUUUGUCUCUUCAUGUUCUGGGUUCCUUCUCUCCCCAGAGAAGUCAACUUUGCCUU
This 5070-nucleotide unclassified non-coding RNA is filed under the name Octopus sinensis (East Asian common octopus). RNAcentral describes it as "dNA topoisomerase 2-binding protein 1-like, transcript variant X1". The record is from RNAcentral. Lineage: Eukaryota; Metazoa; Mollusca; Cephalopoda; Octopoda; Octopodidae.